This 5757-nucleotide long non-coding RNA is filed under the name Varroa destructor (honeybee mite). Its description in RNAcentral is "uncharacterized LOC111247639, transcript variant X1". The record is from RNAcentral. Lineage: Eukaryota; Metazoa; Arthropoda; Arachnida; Mesostigmata; Varroidae.
UAUUCCAAAUCGCCGUCGUUUUAAAGCCAUAUAGGCGUCACAAACCGCCUGUUCUCGUUAUGAUAUCCACGAUCGAUUCAAAGGUUACCAUCAGCAGUAGCAGCGCCAACGUGAUGAGGGAUCUCGGAUCACCCGCAUAGUGGAUUAUAGGAGCUGCUGCGUUUGAGUGAUCAGGUUACGCGAAUGACCGGUAUGUUGGUCUCUCUAGUAGUGAUUGGCAAGUUUUGUAAUGUUAUAACAGCUGACCCCGUUGUAAGACCCAGAGAAUAGUGCUUAGCCGUAUCGCCAUUUGGGUUGAUCGUGCCCAAGUGAAAUUAGGCCACACAUUUUCGAUAUGUCUCUAAGUGUUGUUAGAAAUCCUCUGUCUCAGGAUCGACCAGUGUUGAUUCUAUGGAACUUACCAGUAAGGAAUCCGCAUUGUCGCCGAAAGCUCCUGUGCCAUCAUGGUAAACGUUUGCGCUCUAACCCUUAAGCGAUCUGUGAAUUUUAGAGUCGAACGUGAGGCACAAAACCCGCAUGAUGACAUUUGGUGACUUGACAUAGCGACACGACAUCCAGACUAUAUUGUUACUUUAGAACUGCGUCACUGGUGAAAUCCCUUGUACCACGCCAAAGGAAAGCAGCUAAGGAAGAACACCAUUCUCUAGCUGAAUCAGGGUGACUAUUUUUGAAGGUAGAAGUUCUAAGGCUUAACGUUGACGCAAAUUGGAUGGCCUGGAGAACAUUCGUGCAUUGUUUAGAGUUGAUGGUUCGGAUGCUCAGCAAACGGUUUGGUGAGACGCUUAGGGGUGUUAAGGAGGGACAAUCAGCAGCGACGAAUAUGUCAUGUAAGCCGAGGAUAUCAGCCCGAUUUCGGCUGGUCGCUAAAUUAUCAGGACAUACAUGAGUUGCGCAUCGCCAGUGUUUCAGUAAUGAUGGGGUAUCAAUAAACCACGAUUCCAGCAAAAAUCGCGGAGAUUUUUAUGAGCACACUCACGUCACGCACAACACUCAACGUUAACGACAGGUUUCUCCAAGCCAGCUAGCAUCUCACCCCAUAACUUCAAACAGGGCAUCGAUGCCGUCCAUACUGUUCGUAUCUUCUCGACCGAAAUGGUCAUUCGUUAGAAGCGUCUUUGCCAAGUCAGACUUCACGUCAUUAAUGGCGACGGCAGCAAUGAGCGCCAGGAGAUGAACCCAUUUGCGAAGACUGAUCAGUUUUCACCAGAUGAGUGCAAGUAGAACGACGUAACUAGAAGGAACUUGUGAACAGUCGAGAUAUCCGUGGAUGGACGUAUGUAACUCAAACAAGUGAAUUUAGAGAGAACGCCAAAAGCAUGCAGUCAUGUGAUCGUGUAUGCCAUUUACGCUAUAUCAGCAUAAAUAGACCUUAUGAGCACCUAGCUAAUAUUAUGCGUAGGCAGUAUUUCUUCAGAUACAGUGGUUGCUUGAAAGAAAAUGGUUAGGUGCAUGUUUAGACAAUCGUUACGCGAGUAAGGCGUAUGCUAGACUGAUAUUUGUGAGAAGUGUGACCGUCAAAGAAAGGAGAUUUUAUUAUAAGAAACACGUCGACAGAGACAGUGACGCGCAGUAAAGAUAUUUGUAACUAAUUUUCUACGGGCACGGGUUUACAGCACCUUUGAGCAGUUACGUGAUGCCUUGUAGCUACAGUGUAGGCAUCCAUUUGAACCUUCGAGAGCGGCAACUCGCCCGAUAUACGACCGCUUAUGGUCAGUCGCACGCGUGACAAAGCCCGAAACGAUCGUCGUGUGCGUUCCGGUAUUAGAGAAAAUUUCCGAAGACAUGUUACUAGCGCUGUCAAAGGAUCUGCGCAAAUAUUACAGAAAGCUCACCUCAUCGAGAGAUGGCGCAAACAACCCACUGCGUUAUCUGGUUCGUUGGGGGCCAAAGUAACACGUACUCUCCACUAACACGUUACAAAAAAUGAAUCUGGCGCUAAUUAUUCCGCUUAGUCAGCUCAAGGUAUCCUCAUUGUGGGCCGAUUGCAUUAUAAGAUACACAUGGGUAAAGCUCAUCGGCUGUGGCAAAAGACUAUAAAAAGGAACGUCUACGACGUGGAGAGCUAGCAAUCUAGCUUCGACCGAAAGCAAAAAGGUAUCCGAGUCGCAGGCGCGAAGGAUUUCGUGCCAUAACUCGUACGUUGUUUGCCGUCGCUUAAAAGAAGAUCGAAGACGCAGUCACGAAGAGCUGAAGCAUUGAUGCGCACUUGAUGUCUGUUGCCGUCGGCGUCGACUGUCAGGGUACUCAGUGGGCCCAUCGGUUGUUGUAGAAGACCAACAAUCGGCGAGGUGUCCAUCGGAAGUGCAAAACGAGCCAUUGGGGCUACGGGUCUUUACCGUUAUCCUUCAUGAGAUCCGAUCCAUAUAUGCGGCCUAGAUAGUGCGAACUGAAACCUUAAUCUUAGGUUGGCGCUGGGCGCAUGUUGGUUAGAAGUUAGGUUUAAGGCAGAUUUUGGUUAUAUUAGCUACUUCGAUAUUUUUCCAAAAUGUUGGGGUAUCUAUUUUAAUUUCGUCAUGAAAACGUUUGAAACGCUAACAGUUAAAUAUAAGCGAAUUAUAUAUAUAAUUUUUUUUUUUAGUUUAGCAUUAGUCGUAGUUGUUAUUUUAACAUGGGUACUAUUAUAAGGGUAGGCAUACACUAAACAGAUAUAGGAAUACUAAGAAUCUGGCAAAAGUCAAAAAUAAAAAACGCGCAACUGAGUGAGGAUGUACUAUCGAAUAAGGCAAAAAGGGCCCAAGUGGGAUCAAAGCUGAACGAUACGAGAAAUGACUGGCUUGGGCGUUGUAGGGUGCCCACCUCUCCAGAAAGGAAGUAUGUUGCAAGCGACGCGUUACAGGUAGAGCGACCGUGAUCGACACACGGAUCAACAUCCCCAGCUAUGCCAGCGUGAUGAGUCAUUUCAGUUUUGCCUUCAUGGGCCUACCAUGGUUAUUGUGAUUUCCCGUACGCAGCGCACGCCGCAUAGCUGCAAAAUCUCUCAAAUAGAAACUAGCGGGUCAAAGAGUUUCGCAUAGGCACUCAAAGCCUAAUUAGCCGUAAGAAUUUGGAAAUAACACUUCAUAGUUUCGCCAAGCAGAUCAUCCGUGCCCAAAUGAAACAGGGACAUAAAUUGUCUGUUAUUUUCGGCACUCAGGCUCAUCUAAUACGGCAGCUAUAAUCGACGUUGUUUACUUCAUAGUGUCAUAAAAAUCACGAAUGAAAAAAAAAUCUGCGAUAUUGUUCAACAUCGGCAAGCCAUUAUGUACAAGCGUUUACUAGCCGUAUUUCUUAAGCAAUCUCUGACAAAGGUGAUCGCCUAAGAUUUAUUAGAAAUAGGUUUGUCAACAGGUUAACAUCAUUCUGCUCGACAUUACAAUGUGUAGCAUUUCAUCUGCGCGAUACCUAGGGGAGGUUUGCAUCCAGACCGGUUAGGUUGAUUCUGUUGGAAGCACAUUCGGCGGUAGGUUUAUCGGGAUAGUAAAAACGAGGUGGGGUCUCUAUCUGCCCUAAUGGCUCUUCAAAGGAUAGUAAUGCAAUAGCCUCUUGGAUGCUCGUUUACAAAGAAUGGGGCCUGAUUGAUAUUCAUGGCUGCGUCCUGUAGCAAGGUUUUUGCUACUGCUGCUGCCAUGCCUUAUUUUCUUUUGAGAACACGCUAGGGGGCCACGCGUACGUGGGGGUCGAAAGAAGAUACCCAAAAGGGCUUUAACUCGCCCCAUAUAAUGCGCUUCUAUGGCCUAGAUCGCCAGCACUGCCACGAAACAAACAGCCGUCUUGGGAGUACGGCAAAUCCUUAAAGGUGUAAGAUUUGAUAGCAUAGUGUAAGCGCGGUAUCUAAUAAACAAGUGUAAUAAGCCAGCUUGUGCUAUAUUCACUAAUGACCUAAUAGGCACGUUGAUUUAAAAAUGUCAACUGUAUUGUUUUUUUAAAGGUAAAACAAAACGACCACGUAACAUUAUGUAACGACAUUAUACUAACUAUUUAUUAUUAAAUUAUACUAAAAAGGUAACCUAAUUGUAAGAGAAAGUUCAUAUAACUGCUAUAAUGCCAGCUCGUGUGUUAUAAUCGUUCUUCAGCACACCUCACGCUACAUAGGCAAUACAAGAUCGUACUUCUCUGAUUACCGAGAUGUUAUUACAGCCUCAGAACUGUCAAUGAAUCGAAGGGUAAUUUUUUAGUUAGGAUUAAUCAUUGACGAGACGAUCACCAAAGCAUGACGAGUCAAUUUCCAUCAUGUCAGAAUAAAAACAAAUAAGGAAAAAACGUUUUUCAUCCGAAUAAAGAUAAAAUCUCCAUCAUAGGUCAUGUAAGUUACCAGUCAGCAGUGCAUAUGCUUUUAAAAUGUCGGCACCGUUGUUAUGCCCGUACGUCGAACACUCUACGUUUCGAAUUUUCAGUCCGGUACCGCUUUUAAGCAUUCCAUUAAAGCACUGAAUCCUAUCCGAACUCGGAUAUAUUCGUACUAACGCGAUAAUGUUCUACGGAAGGUGUUGUUCAAGGAAGUGUUAGCUUGUGCACCCCAACGUAUAAGGAAUGCGGAUCUCGAAUUGGUUCAUUGCGCAUAAAAAAAUAGCUUUUAAUCCAUUCAAGUCUAAGACAAUUUUCAUUUGUAUCCAGAGCAAAACAUAUCGAACUUCGGGAAAAGUGAAGAAACAUAGAAAACACUCACAGUUUCUGUGCCCGAUAGAUUACUAGAGUAAGCCAAAAUGGCGCUGCAGACUAUUUUUUGAAUUGAAACCGGGCAGCAGUUGGAUGACGCGCCAAAAGUUGAAAGAAAUCUAUUUCCUCGUUUGUAGUUCCAUGUAACUAUCUGUGAAAUUACGAAUUAUUUUCCGUUAUUGCUUGUCAAUUCUGCAAUACUGUUGUAUUUAUUUGAUGGUUUGCCGUAGAACGAACAGGGACCAAAAACCAUUCGUCAUAUACCCUGCCAGCGCUAGUUCCAUGAGCAAUCGGUAAACAAUUUGUUAGCGUUAACAAAGUGAGAACGGAUGCUACGUCAGUUAUGCUCCAAACCUUUUUAACUAGCAGCGGUGCCCUAACGUGUUUCUGUGGUUAUCCUUCUGUUUAGCUAGUGGCUAGAUAUUAGAAUAUACUCCACUGAUAAAUCAGGUCCGCAGCUAUAGUAAGUUCAACGAAAUCGCUGCGAAGCGAUGCAGUUCGAUAACGUGAAGGCCAUCAGAAAUAAAAUGCGUUACUGUACUUUGGAUACGCCAUGCGUCUUAUUGAUAUCGCAUACGAAGACAUCAAAGGCUGCCCGAAAAGAUUAAGAGGUAAACUUCGAGACUCAUUCGAAUACUUAUUUUGCAUGCGCGGGCUGUUCUCGCCCACAAAACUGGACUGCUCAUGUUAUAGACUCACGGAGACUGCACAGCAUGUCAUCGUCUCUUCCCAAUGCUGAAGGUAGCGACUGAAGCUGGACGUGGGGUCCACUGUCUUAUGACCAAAGAUGACCGCCAGAAACUGUACGAAGAAAACCAAAAAGCUCUCGGAGAUCCUGUUGAUGGCGGCACUCCUACUGUGUGCUUCUUCCACCUCUUCCCACGUCCCUGAGUUUCCCUAAAACGAACUUACCUAGAAGCCAAAAGCCAGCAAAUUCUCUUAUGCGGUCACCACCAGCGGCUCCCGAAUACCGCACUAUCAACCACUGGAGUCGCAGUUCGGUGUCAGAGGCUCUGAGCUUCUUUUUCGGCGUCGGACUAGACGUGACUAACAUUGUUAUGGAUCGAUUUUUGUUAUCUGUCUUCAGUGCUGGCACAGCAUUAUGGCAAGGAAGACUUAGAA